RNAcentral lists this long non-coding RNA (796 nucleotides) under Vigna radiata. RNAcentral describes it as "long non-coding RNA (VRAD_LNC007287)". Lineage: Eukaryota; Viridiplantae; Streptophyta; Magnoliopsida; Fabales; Fabaceae. The record is from RNAcentral.
GAAAGUCUAAGAUUCAAAUUGUAUAAAUUGUGUCUAAUAGAUAAUUUCACUGGAAACCAACAUAUUAACAUAACAACAUAACAACAUGCAAUUACAAAUGGAUUAAAUAUAUUCCACUGGAAAACAACAGCAUUUGAAAGCAUGAUCUGAGAUGAUGUUCCAACAUCAGUUGCAGUAAGUAGUGGUGACCCUUGUUAAGGACUGCUAGCAGGAGUAACAGCUGGACCUCUAAUUAUUCCUCCAUGUCCACUGUUGUCUUUCAAGUUUCAAUGGACAACCCAUGUUCAGUUCCAUCUUAGGUGAACUGUUCAAAUUCAAGCGCAGAAUCUUUGGCCUAGGCCACUUCAUCAUUACAAUAUUGCAAUGCAGCUGCUCUAUGCGGUAUUUCUUUUCAUGCUGGGAAAACUUCAUAGAUGUAUCAAGCAACAAAGCAGCCUUUAACAAAGAAAGUUAAAAAUUACUUGUCCAAUAUAACCCAGCUUGACUACACCUCCACAUGAAGAACCAGAAAGAAUCUUCACUCUGAUUUUUAUCUGUGUAAAUUGUUUAACAAUCUAGGAAAGCCGUAAAGAAAGAAAGAAAAUACGCCGUGCAUGGGGAGCCUGCGAACCUUGGAAAAUCUCUGGCGACAAAUUGGGCAUCGAGACUCAUGUUUAGCCCAUUCCAUGAUGCAGAAGAUGCGAUCGAAACCCUCGCUCUGCGUAGCAAAUCCCCCAACAAAUGCUCUGUUCGUCGUCCUUAUCCUCCUAUACAUGGGAUUUCGCUCUCUUAUUUGGAGAACUUAACGACACGGACG